GUGCAGCAGUCGAGAAUCUUCCACAAUGGGGGAAACCCUGAUGGAGCGACGCCGCGUGCGGGGAUGAAGGCCCUAUGGGUUGUAAACCGCUGUUCAGUGGAAAGAACAUCCUCCGGCUGAAUAGGUCGGAGGCCUGACGUUACCACUGCAGAAAGUCCCGGCCAACUCCGUGCCAGCAGCCGCGGUAAGUACGGGGGGGACGAGCGUUGUCCGGAAUCAUUGGGACGUAAAGGGCGCGUAGGCGGCGAGGAAGUCGAAUGUAGAAAUCUUGCGGCUCAACUG
RNAcentral lists this ribosomal RNA (282 nucleotides) under uncultured microorganism. Its description in RNAcentral is "partial 16S ribosomal RNA". It matches the Rfam family "Bacterial small subunit ribosomal RNA", at positions 346 to 615 of the family's 1533-position model. The record is from RNAcentral.